RNAcentral lists this non-coding RNA (28 nucleotides) under Homo sapiens (human). The record is from RNAcentral. Lineage: Eukaryota; Metazoa; Chordata; Mammalia; Primates; Hominidae.
UGUGCACACUCACAUGGUGAACUUUUGC